UACGUAGGGGGCAAGCGUUGUUCGGAAUUACUGGGCGUAAAGGGCGCGUAGGCGGCACGGCAAGUCAGGAGUGAAAGCCCGGGGCUCAACCCCGGAAUGUCUUUUGAAACUGCCGAGCUAGAGUGCGGAAGAGGCAACUGGAAUUCCCAGUGUAGCGGUGAAAUGCGUAGAUAUCAGGAGGAAUACCGGUGGCGAAAGCGACUCUCUGGACGGCAACUGACGCUGAGGCACGAAAGCGUGGGGAGCAAACAGG
This 253-nucleotide ribosomal RNA is filed under the name uncultured bacterium. RNAcentral describes it as "partial 16S ribosomal RNA". It matches the Rfam family "Bacterial small subunit ribosomal RNA", at positions 524 to 776 of the family's 1533-position model. The record is from RNAcentral.